GACGAACCGUGCGAACGUUGUUCGGAAUCACUGGGCUUAAAGGGCGCGUAGGUGGUCUGUCAAGUCGAGGGUGAAAUCUUUCGGCUCAACCGGAAAACUGCCUUCGAUACUGACAGGCUAGAGGGAGAUAGGGGUUGCGGGAACUACCAGUGGAGCGGUGAAAUGCGUUGAUAUUGGUAGGAACGCCGGUGGCGAAAGCGCGCAACUGGACCUCUUCUGACACUGAGGCGCGAAAGCUAGGGGAGCAAACGGG
This 253-nucleotide ribosomal RNA is filed under the name uncultured bacterium. RNAcentral describes it as "partial 16S ribosomal RNA". It matches the Rfam family "Bacterial small subunit ribosomal RNA", at positions 524 to 776 of the family's 1533-position model. The record is from RNAcentral.